RNAcentral lists this long non-coding RNA (729 nucleotides) under Panax ginseng (ginseng). Its description in RNAcentral is "long non-coding RNA (PGIN_LNC005090)". The record is from RNAcentral. Lineage: Eukaryota; Viridiplantae; Streptophyta; Magnoliopsida; Apiales; Araliaceae.
UUUAAAGGACUAAACUCCCAACAAGUCCUCAUCACCAGCGCAGUCCAUGGGGGUCGGGUAAGUACAACAUACGUAAUCUCCCAUUACUUUAUGUUCUUAUCCCUUCAGUAAUCUAAACAUAAUUUUAUGUUUCAGGCUCUAGCUGCCUUUGGCCGAUUACUGCACAUGCUUGAUGAAAUAAGCUGAAGGGAAAAGAAAUGCAGACCAAAUUCAAACGUCUUCGAGAAGAAACCAAUGGUCUUAGAUCUGAACUCAAAAGGAGAAAGAUCAUGGUGUCAACUUCGUACUCAAAUCCCAAGAGUUAUCGAGGCAGUUAAAAACCCUAAAAUGGCAAAGUUUAGAAUUAGCCGAACAAAGGCAAAAACUCUGGAGGACCGGAUCGAGCUCAAAGGAAAAAAUGAAGAGCUAAAAAAGAUUGUGAAAGACUGCGAAUUUCAGCUUCGGGAGAUUCACAACUAGAUAAAGAGUCUAGUUAAAGGUGCUGCUCAAUUGGUGAAAGAACUAAAUGACCUUCGAGCCCAAUGCCAGCAAAUUUUCGAAGUUAAUAAGCAGAACGUCAUUGAAGAGUACAAAACAUCUCUCGAGUUGACUUAAGCAGCGGUAGAAUAGUUUGAAAAAGGCUAUCAAUUUCCCAAGGCCAAGAUCAAGGCAGCCGGCUUCGACCCCCUCCUCCUUGGCUUUUAUGACGACGAAGAAAGAACCGAGACCGAAGAUGAUCCCCCCACUGAC